AUAAGUAAGACGUGAACAGUAUUGACUGGACUGCUCAGCUGCAAGCAAGGAGGAAACAGCAUUGAUUGGACAACAAGUUGGCGAUGGCAAGCUGGAGGACUGCCGGAAAUGAGGAUAAAAAGGGAGCCCGUGCACCGCUCUCCAUCCUUUCAAGGAUCAUGGCCUGGUGCGUGUAAACCACCGGGAGCGGAAGAAAGAAGAGCGGAGCUGUCACUGGGCUGUCACUGACGAGAUCCUGACCCGCUCCUGACCUGUCCCAGCCACGGCUUUCUGAGCUGCGUCCGUUCCUGAGCCGUUUCAGCCGCAGUCUCCUGUUUGCGGCUUUAGCCGCAUGAGCCGCCCUGUUCCUGUCUAGUGCCCGUCUGAUAAAAGUUGCUGUAACACUUUCGGCUUUGCCGCCGAACCAAGGGCCCAGUGUGUGUGAACCUCUGGAUCUCCACGCAUCCGGAGCUGAAGAGGCAGCCCGCUAGCUUUGGCUAAGCGGCACAAGGCGAGGACGGGAUCAAGCGGCCAGCGGCGCUGCUGCAUUGCCGCCCUGCUGUCGGGCCUGACCAGCAGAGCCGCCUCGCCUGGAGUCCUUAUCAGCCCGCUGCCAGAGCUGACCGCAGAGCCGGACCAGGCCUCUCAGCAGGGGACCUCUCCAACUUCUCGCCUUGUUGCCCGCCUGGGAACUUUGAGCCUACCGCCCAGAGUGAUAGCCUUCCCAUGACUUCCGGCUGCCUGCAGAGUGGACAGUGAGAGACAGAGAGAGAGAGAGAAAGGUCUUCCUUUGCCGUUGGUUCACCCUCCAAUGGCCGCUGCAGCCAGCGCGCUGCGGCCGGUGCACCACGCUGAUCCGAUGGCAGGAGCCAGGUACUUCUCCUGGUCUCCCAUGGGGUGCAGGGCCCAAGUAUUUGGGGCCAUCCUCCACUGCACUCCCUGGCCACAGCAGAGAGCUGGCCUGGAAGAGGGGCAACCGGGACAGAAUCCAGCGCCCCGACCGGGACUAGAACCUGGUGUUCCAGUGCUGCAAGGCAGAGGAUUAGCCUAGUGAGCCGCGGCGCCGGCCUAAUGUAUUCAUUUUUAACAGAUGAGUAAGCAGAAGCCCCAGGAGGAAAAAAUGCCUUGCCAAAGUUACAUAGCUCACUGAAGAGGAGGCAAGACUAGAAAUCGGGAUUCCUAACUCAAAAUCCUGUAUUUUUAAAAUAACAUAAUGCAUUUUAUUAAUCAUCACAAAACUCUGCCAAUUUAGAAAAUAAACUAUUAAGCUCCAAUUUUUUUAAAAAGUCAAUAUGCUCUACAUAAAGAAAUUAUUUGCAAGUUAGUAUAUACACCAAGUUGACACAGAACCAAAACCUUACAGGCUACAUAAUAAAGUAAUUCACCAUACUCCAGGAAAUGCAAAAUAACAAGCAUAAAAAAAAAAAAAACAAAAAACUAAAAACACUAACUUUAGCAAAUGGUGACUGGCAAAAUAAUGGAAGUGGGUCUUCAAAAUUUGAAUAAUUACAAGGUCAAAAUUUUGUUUUCUGUCAGGGAAAACUGGUCACAGUGGCCAAUAAAAUGAGAGUCCAUUAUGAGCAAUGUUAUCAUACCAAUGAAUAUAUCCAAGAAAAGACAUAAUAGAUUUCCUGAGACAGGUGAUUAUAUGAAACAUACCUUAAGGAAAUGACCUUUCAGUGCAUUCAAAUAGGCUGAACUACUCUAUCUUACAGGAAAUAAUGUACUGGUUUAGGUUCUGAGUAACAUAUAAGUGAACACAUUAUUUCCUCUUAUGGCAACAAAAUUUUAAUUUGCGGGGGGGGGGUGGCGGGGAGGGAGAAAGAGACAGAUAGCUAGAUAUUCCAGUUACUUAUUGGUCUACUCCCCUAAAGCCCUCAGGCACCUGGGAGCCAGGAACUCAAUCCACAUCUCCCAUGUGAGUGGCAGGUACCAAUUAUUUGAUCCAUAACCUGCUGCCUCUCAGGGUCUGCACAGGUAGGAAGCUGGAAUCAGAAGCCUGGGCUAUGAGUUGAGCCCAGGCACUCCAAUAUGGGAUGCAGGUGUCCUAGGUAACAGGAGUUUAACAUCUUCCUAGAAGAUUUGGAACCUGAGAGAAAACCGUAAUCCUAUAUAAAUUUAUUAAAGAAGUAUAAAAUUCAAAUUAAAUUAGAAAAAAAGAAAAACUUGGGAGACUGAUUACAGUCAGUUGAAAAGUAAAGGAUGUUUAAUCUUCCUUUGCUUUUCUCAAAAUUCACAUAACUAGAACCAAGGGAAAAAAAAAACUG
Long non-coding RNA from Oryctolagus cuniculus (rabbit), 2246 nucleotides. RefSeq lists it as uncharacterized. Lineage: Eukaryota; Metazoa; Chordata; Mammalia; Lagomorpha; Leporidae. The record is from RefSeq and is a predicted model, not a curated record.